Triticum dicoccoides is the source of this 673-nucleotide long non-coding RNA. RefSeq lists it as uncharacterized. NCBI's taxonomy places the organism in Eukaryota, Viridiplantae, Streptophyta, Magnoliopsida, Poales, Poaceae. The record is from RefSeq and is a predicted model, not a curated record. The transcript has 3 exons.
GGAGCCGGGUGAUGGCAGACGGGCGCGGGAGACGGAAGGAUCUGGCGUGGCAGCGCGUAGUCCUUGUAGUUGGAGGAGGGCCUCCAUGGCCGCGGCGACCCCUCCCCUUCUCUCUGUGGCCACGACAGCUCAGGCGCGGUCAGAUCCGCCCUCCCUCCCUCAUUCCUCGCGCCGGAUAACCUAGCCGCCGGGCCAUGGUGACCGACGGCGAUGAUGACGAUGGUGGCUACCUCGACGACGGCGGCACACACCCAACAUCGCCAUGGACCAGUAGCUCAAGCAUUCUUCUUCCUGAUGGUGAUGGGGUUCCCUCACCAUCUUCAGGUCAUCGUCCUUGAGGCCUCCACCAUCUGCAGGCGCAAGCCAUCAGGCUCUUCCAGUCCAGGGGGAACCAGGCCCGAGUCACCACCAUCCUGAUGUUGCCACGACGGGCGCGGCAGCGGACAGGCCAAUGCACCUUGCAGCGAUAUCUACGUUAGAGAGGGUGUUGUUGCCGUCCACCAUGAUAACAACCUGUGUUGUGUAGAUUUUAGAUUCUUUGGUGACGAAUUGGACUACAUCCCACUGAAGGCCACUUAUCCUGCUCAUGAGUGAUGCUACUUAAAAACAAUCCUAGGUGAGUGAUAUGUUCUUUGUCAUGUCAGGUAUGUAGUUCCACCGACCUCAUAUUGGA